This 300-nucleotide ribosomal RNA is filed under the name uncultured Alteromonadaceae bacterium. RNAcentral's name for it is "bacterial SSU rRNA". It matches the Rfam family "Bacterial small subunit ribosomal RNA", at positions 114 to 420 of the family's 1533-position model. The record is from RNAcentral. Lineage: Bacteria; Pseudomonadati; Pseudomonadota; Gammaproteobacteria; Alteromonadales; Alteromonadaceae.
UACUUAGGAACAUGCCUUUGGGUGGGGGAUAACUAUUGGAAACGAUAGCUAAUACCGCAUGAUGUCUUCGGACCAAAGUGGGGACUUGUUCCUCACGCCCAGAGAGUGGCCUAAGCGAGAUUAGCUUGUUGGUGAGGUAAAGGCUCACCAAGGCGACGAUCUCUAGCUGUUCUGAGAGGAAGAUCAGCCACACUGGAACUGAGACACGGUCCAGACUCCUACGGGAGGCAGCAGUGGGGAAUAUUGCACAAUGGGCGCAAGCCUGAUGCAGCCAUGCCGCGUGUGUGAAGAAGGCCUCGG